CCUAUCUCGUAUUGAGCAAUUCUAUAGCCCUAUAGAAUAUUUUAUGUUAAAACUAGUAACAAGAAGGAAACCUUCUCUUUAAUGCAAGUGUAAAUCAGAUAGGAUAAACCACUGAUAAUUAACACCCAUGAGCUGAGAGUAUUAACCUACCAAGAAAACUAUACUUUCCUAUGUGUUAACCUAACACAAGAGCACUUCAAGAAAGAUUAAAAGAAAAAGAAGGAACUCGGCAAAUUUUAACCUCGCCUGUUUACCAAAAACAUCGCCUCUUGAUUAACAAUAAGAGGUCCAGCCUGCCCAGUGACUCAGUUCAACGGCCGCGGUAUCCUAACCGUGCGAAGGUAGCGUAAUCACUUGUUCUUUAAAUGAGGACUAGUAUGAAUGGCAUCACGAGGGUUAUACUGUCUCCUCUUUCUAAUCAGUGAAACUAAUCUUCCCGUGAAGAAGCGGGGAUUAAACUAUAAGACGAGAAGACCCUAUGGAGCUUUAAACAAAUGUAACAAUCGCUAUUCAAUUUUCCAAUUUCUGAAAACUAACUUAUUUUAGCCUUAUGAUUACUAGUUUUAGGUUGGGGUGACCGCGGAGAAUAAUUUAACCUCCACAUUGAAUGAAUACUUUUCUAAGCUGAAAGCCACGACUUUAUGCAUCAAUAAAUUGACAUCCAUUGAUCCAAUACUUUUUGAUCAACGAACCAAGUUACCCUAGGGAUAACAGCGCAAUCCACUUCAAGAGCUCCUAUCGACAAGUGGGUUUACGACCUCGAUGUUGGAUCAGGGUAUCCCAGUGGUGCAGCCGCUACUAAAGGUUCGUUUGUUCAACGAUU
RNAcentral lists this ribosomal RNA (823 nucleotides) under Pleurodema brachyops (Colombian four-eyed frog). Its description in RNAcentral is "partial 16S ribosomal RNA". It matches the Rfam family "Bacterial large subunit ribosomal RNA", at positions 1473 to 2589 of the family's 2925-position model. Lineage: Eukaryota; Metazoa; Chordata; Amphibia; Anura; Leptodactylidae. The record is from RNAcentral.